RNAcentral lists this ribosomal RNA (253 nucleotides) under uncultured bacterium. RNAcentral describes it as "partial 16S ribosomal RNA". It matches the Rfam family "Bacterial small subunit ribosomal RNA", at positions 524 to 776 of the family's 1533-position model. The record is from RNAcentral.
UACAGAGGUCUCAAGCGUUGUUCGGAAUCACUGGGCUUAAAGGGCGCGUAGGCGGUCGACCAAGUCCGGGGUGAAAUCUUUCGGCUUAACCGGAAAAGUGCCUUGGAUACUGGUCGGCUGGAGGGAGGUAGGGGCAGGUGGAACUUCCAGUGGAGCGGUGAAAUGCGUUGAUAUUGGAAGGAACGCCGGUGGCGAAAGCGACCUGCUGGACCUCUUCUGACGCUGAGGCGCGAAAGCUAGGGGAGCAAACGGG